CAGAGCCUUGCAUUCAUUUGUCCUUGCCUUGUGUGUACUGAUUGCCAGCUCUUAAUCAUCCUCAGACCUACAGGAUAUGCAUACAGCAGAAUGUUUGUUCCCUGAAAACAAAAUUUAAACAAGGUUGAUCUGAUAGUGGGGGUUACUUCUGAAGAGUGAAGGGGAAAAGUGAGGAAAGUAUGAUUUAAUCCCUACUUGCAGAUGAGGAACUGGCACUGGUUGGGAAGGAGUUGAAGAUGUGAGUAAACAUCAAAGUCCUGAGAUUGUGUCAUCCAUAGCUCCGCAGCUAUAACAUAGAGAUGUGAUUCUGUGUAUCAGCAUUCAAGUCAAGGACCUAUGCUCCUUCUGUAUCUGUGUUCUUCUACUUUGAUGGAAUUGGCUUCAUCCAUGUGGUCCAGGAUGACUCAUCAUUAUACACAUAUUCUACUCCGUCAGAGGGCUGAAGGGGAUAGGCAGCUAUGUGCUUUCAAGAAACGUGAUUCCAUUCCCACCUCCUUAUCAUGAUUGGUCUAAAGCUUAGAGCAAUCUGUGCACAGCCUUUCCCAGGCAACUGUAAUUGGUUUGGGAUGUAUACUUAACCCAAAAUCUGAUUGGUUAGGGGAUAGGGUUUCUUUUCUUCUGGACACAUAGGAGAACAUUUGUAGCCCAAUGACCAUGGACAGCCAUCUUCCAGCAAAGAGAAAAACAAAGGGAUAUAGCUACUCCUGAAGACGGCAAAGCAGAAGGAUGCAAAGAAUCUAAACAUUCGAUGAUAUCAUUGAGCCACAUCAGCCAAACUUGGAUCCUGCCCUACCUCUGGACUCUUUGUUGUAUGAGAAAGGAAAUGUUAUCAAUUAAGCCAUUUCUGGUCAUGAUUUCUAUUAUUGUAGCCAAAAGCAUCUUAACCUUCAUCUGGAUGUAAUUUUAAAAGAUUAAAUGCCUUAAAGUCACGUAAACUAAAUGGUUAUCUCCUCAAAAUUUCCUCAGCCUUGUUGAAUCUUGGCCUUAGUUCCCUCUUUCCAAUAUUUGUUCUAGAACUCUGCAUUCAAAUAUCACUGAGAUGCACAUACUGGUGCUACCACUCAGCUCACAGACCUUCCAGGAGAGCGAGGGAGAAUUAAUAUGAGAAAUCCUCCUCCUUCCCAAGGCUUGGAAGGGAGUCAGAUUGAUUUUAACUUAUCCAGUAUAGCAAGCAAGUUGUUAGGGCUUUUUUAAAAUUAUUGUUCUAAAGCAACAUAUGUGUCUGAAAUAGCUCUAGAUGCAAUUCCCAAGUGAUAGGACUGUAUGAUUUGAAAGAGGAAGAAAAGUUAAGUUGUCAUCUGGUGUGUGAAUAUUUUAUUGUCAUUGGAAAAAAGUUAUAAGUCCAUUCAUCACAUUUGGUUCGCUAUUCUAUAUCCUUUUCUUAUUCUUCAGAAGAAAAUAGAAUAGUUUUUGGAGCUACAACAGAGGCACAUCUGUUAGUUCCCGAAAGUUUUAUAAAACAGCAGCAGGAAAGAAUCAUUUCUAAAUUAUCUCACAACUGACAGAAAGUUAUCAUUCAUUUCUCUUCAAGAAGGUGGUUUUUCAGAUAUAGAAAUUCAAAGGCUUUUUAAAAAAUGGUAAUACAGAAGAGACAAAUUGACACUUUGCUGAUGAUUUUUUGUCUUUCCUGUCACUGUUGACAACAUAAGUCACUGUUAAGGUGGUUUCCAAAAACACCUAAAGAACAACUGUGAAAAUUACAAACUAAUCAGACGACUUAAAACGUAGGAAAGAGAAAGUUUAAGUGAUCCUUCUAGUUGGGGAAUAUGGACCAAAGGUAGAAUAUUUCACAGUCAGAUUUAGUGUACAAACUAUCAAGGAAACAUAUAUUUUGAAUUAUUUGCAUGUCUGCAUUAAAAGUUUAAAAUAUCUUAAAGCCUUUAAGCUGAAAUGAUAAAGAUACAUUAGGAAACUAUGGCUUGUGGAAACGCUACUUCUCCCUCUUCACAGCAAGAAGACUCUGCAAUAAGAUUAGGCUGUCCCCAUCUCCCUGUAAAUUAAACUCCCCCUAAUCACUCUCUAUCCAAUUAACUUUUUAUUUUCUUUAGAGCACUUAUCAUUCUCUGCAAUGUUCUUAUCUGCCUGUUGUCUAAUUCCACUAGAAUGUAAACUCCACAAAAGCAGCAACCUCAUCUAGUGUAUUUGCUCCUGUGCUCCCAGCAAGGCAUUUAGAACAUCUAAUGCUUUUUAGGGGCUCGGUGAAUAUUUGUUGCAUAUGUAAAUGGACGAAUAAAUAAAUCUCGGUGAAAAUAUGUUUCAAUUUUCAGGGGAAAAGAAAAGACUCUGUACACUAUAUUCUAAUUAAUUCAAUUAAUUAGGAAAAUUUUCCCCAAGAAGUAUUAAUAACGUGACACUGCUAACAGAUAGGCAUGGACAUUUAGAGGCUGGUUAUUCAAAAAGAGUGCUAAAUGUGCACACGUUCCUUUUUAAUACAAAAAUAUUCAUGGCAUGAUUCGGAUUAUUUGAAACCUUUCUAAACUUAAAUUUAAAUCUUCCCAAGUUGAAAGGCGUUUUCUUACUAAAAAGGACAAAUGCCAUCUAGAAAAUACUUGCGAUCAUAGAUUUUUGACCCAGCCUGAGACCCGGGGCAGUAAUCACCAAAAGCAAUUCUUCUAAUUGCCCUAACUACCUAACUGCUCUCUCACAUGUAGCCCAAAUCUGAAGAUUCUGUAGCCCAAAUCUCUUGCUAAACACAGACUAUAUUAGUUUGUUCAGAUUGCUAUAACACCAUAAGCUGGCUAGCUUACAAACAACAAACAUUUAUUGCUCACGGUUCUGGAGGCUUGGCAAGAGCCCACUUCCUAGAUGGCUGCCCUUCUGCUAUAAACUCAUAGGGUGGAAAGGGUGAGAGAUCUCUCUGUGGCCUCCCUGAUGGGAUAAAGGUACUGAUCCCAUUUAUGAGGGCUCUGCUCUCUGACAUAACCACCUCUCAAAGACUCCCAUCUCCUAAUACCAUCACCCUGGUGGUGAGGAUUUCAACGUAUGCAUUUUGGGGAAACACAAACAUUCAGACUAUAGCACAAAUAGACAAAAAUAGCAGAGCUAAGAAUUGAAAUUUCAGGUGUCUAACUCGAAAGCCUGUUUUUUUUCUAUCUAUGAUGUUUUCCAGUGAUCAGAGAUUUGAUGACAUGUCAGACAUGAAAAUGAGAGAGAGAGAAAGAAAAGUUUAGAAUCUUUCGGGAAAAAGAAACCCGGCAUUUACAAAGUACCUGUUUCUCAUGAUCUUAAAAUUUUUGUGGUUAAUCAAAAAGUGAAGGUCCCAUUAAUAACGAACUAGAUGCGACCAGACAGAAGUCAGUAUCAGACAAUACAUACAAACAGCAUGCCUGACAUUCCAUCCAGGGAGGACCAUUUCCAACAUCAUCACCAUCAGACAGUUCUUACUGAAGAAGCUACUGGGUGACAAAGAGGUGUUGUAGUAAGGCAUUAACCCAAGGAUUUGAAACGGUAAAUUUCACACUCAAAAGAUCUCGUUUCUUGAGUUAACCACAAUUAACUGGAAAGCUCAAAUGUGAUGACACUAUGUUAAUGUGAAACAAUUAAGAAUGGAUCUUUGUCGAGGAAACCUCCUUCUCCCCAUUUCCACGCAUUGGAAGCCAAAUGCGCGGUUAGUAUGUAUUUGUUCAAAGCGUAUAAAGUGGCAAAAACGCUGAAGAAGUAACUGCAUAUAUUGAAAUUAAAUGGCAAAUACUUGCUCUUUCACCUUGAACAUUUACAGUAAUAUUUUGUUUCCUUUGUGAGAGUCUUACUGCAUGUAAUAUAAAUGAAAAUAAAAAUGUCUUGAAAUACAAGAGAAUCUCAUAAGGUCAUAUGUAACAUUUGUGAAAAGCUUUGAAAUGUGGUCUUUAAAAAAAUGUAAGUUUUAAAACAUUGUACCUAUCAACAUUUAUUUCAAAUCUAUUCCAACACAGACCAACAGCUGGUAUAAUUACAGCUUCAUUUUUCUCAAUGCAGAUGAAAAAAAAGAAAAAAAAAAAGAA
Hippopotamus amphibius kiboko is the source of this 3980-nucleotide long non-coding RNA. RefSeq lists it as uncharacterized. Lineage: Eukaryota; Metazoa; Chordata; Mammalia; Artiodactyla; Hippopotamidae. The transcript is spliced from 4 exons. The record is from RefSeq and is a predicted model, not a curated record.